Molecule: ribosomal RNA, 253 nt
Filed under: uncultured bacterium
Lineage: Bacteria
Description: partial 16S ribosomal RNA
Rfam family: Bacterial small subunit ribosomal RNA
Source: RNAcentral
UACGAAGGGGGCUAGCGUUGCUCGGAAUCACUGGGCGUAAAGGGUGCGUAGGCGGGUCUUUAAGUCAGGGGUGAAAUCCUGGAGCUCAACUCCAGAACUGCCUUUGAUACUGGGAGGCUCGAGUCCGGGAGAGGUGAGUGGAACUGCGAGUGUAGAGGUGAAAUUCGUAGAUAUUCGCAAGAACACCAGUGGCGAAGGCGGCUCACUGGCCCGGUACUGACGCUGAGGUGCGAAAGCGUGGGGAGCAAACAGG